CUCAUUUAAGGGUUGGCUCUGGAAGUGAGGGAAUCUUUUUCUGGAGUUCUUUGUCUAUCUGAGAAUUUCUGAAGGACUUGAUGACCUCACUUACCCCAGUCCAGCCAAGACCUAUGUGAAACCACAAAGAGUAAAAUAGAUAACAAAACAUGGAACUGAGGCUAAAUGCUGAGGAAAUCAGAUCAGUGUUAAUCACAGUUUCUACAGCUGCUUAAGAAGGUCCCAGGUGAAAAUACAUGUGAGCAAUCAGAAGUCAAGAAAGGGAUGUUUGCAUCACAGUAGGUUGGUGUGCUGGCUGGUGAAGUGGCCAGCGCUUCAUCAGAUGUGAAGCAAGAGUUCCUCUGCUUGGCUACUCAUCAAGGCAGCCUGAAAGCACUGCUGCAGCAAAUGCAUUUAAUAUGGAGGGAAAAUAUUUCCUUUUCCAUUUUUAUCCACUAUAAAGAAUAACUCAAAACUGAGUUAAUUAAAUUACUUCUGUGGGAUUUAGGUGAAGAUCUAUAAUCGGAAGAUCAGAAAAGUGGCCUGGAAAGGACUGUUAAAGAUUCUCUCAUUUAUCCUCUGGUACUCAGUUAGACUGACCUGCUGAAAGCCAUUUUCAAAGAUCCUCAGUACUGAUGAGCUGCUCUUUUCUCUCUUCCCUACAAAACUUGUUACUCUGUUACAGAAGAAAUCACAUUGGUUCUUGACGAAUCCACUUUGGAGACUAAUAGGAAGCCUGUUGUGUUUUUUUUUCCCACAUGCUAGCAGAAUGUUUAUAUGUGCCAGAAUUUUCCCUUAUGUUAAGAUUAAUGGUUUAUAUUAAUUCAUUUUUCAAGGUACAAAGACGUUUCUCUUCUCCUGUGAGCUGCUUUACAUCAGUUCCCUGAAUUUACUGGAAUCUGUCUUUGUUUAGAAGACGCAAAAAACAGUGUAAAUGAAACAACAGACUAAAAUCACAGGCUGGUAAUCACUAUCAUCCUGAUUACCCUUUACAUUCAUAUCUUCACACAGUUAUACCCGCUGCUACAAUUCGGUCUAGCAGAGCUUCCCCUCUCAACUGGACUGAGAGAGGCAGUAACAUUGGCCACAAACCUCCUGAAGCAUUUGUACUCCUGCACUGAGGGCUAUCUGGGCUGCUGAACCUCCCACCUUUUUAUAAUAAGUCUCCUCCAAGUUUCUCUUCAAUCCUCCCUGAACGACGACUGAAACAAUUCUCCUCAAAGUUAAAAAGGCUGCAUUCUCUCCACCGUUUGCCUUAAGUUCCCCCAACCAUUAGACUUCAGUAAGGGCUUUAAGAGUGGUGAGAACACUUUCUCUCCUUGAACAGGAAGUGAGAGCCUCCAGUGUUUGUGGACAACUGCUUCACAACCCUAAGAAUUCUCUCACAGCAGUAAGCAGAAGGACAAAUCUUUUCCAAACCCAGGAACAGGAGAGCAGCAUUGAACUGGACUGUAAAUGCUUAAUGUUUGCACAGUUAUUACCCUUUCUGUUGGGCUUUUUGGACAGAUGGAGUUGGUUUCUCUUCUUGUGCAAACAACUGUUCUGCCAGAAGUUCACCUUAUUUUCAUAUGUUAAUAUGUGUUAGACUGCUACUUUUUUUACGUUGGUUAAUUUCAUCUUGGUAUGGAAACUAAAAAGAAGGAUUUGUUCAAAAAGAAACAUGGCUGCCUAAAUGUUGAGCAGGCUCCCAGAGGUGUCUGCUCGACAGGGCACAACGAAACAGCUCAACAGAAGCCAAGCCCACAACUGUAAGAUUCCGAAAAAAGACCCUUCACAACAAAGCCCACGGGAAGGAGCCAAAAGCUCACACCAUCUCUUCGGCAGACCAAAGAAGCAGAGGGGGAACCAAGAGCUAGCCGGCACCUGUCCCCUCCGAGGCCGUUUCCUCCGAUUAACGUUCACUUUCUUUUAACAAAGCAGACUCCUGUGAUCGCUCCUCGCACAGGGAAGGAGCAUCCACAGCCUCACCCCCAGCAGUAGGA
Meleagris gallopavo (turkey) is the source of this 1961-nucleotide non-coding RNA. The record is from RefSeq and is a predicted model, not a curated record. Lineage: Eukaryota; Metazoa; Chordata; Aves; Galliformes; Phasianidae.